RNAcentral lists this ribosomal RNA (1492 nucleotides) under Lactobacillus sp. NBRC 107340. RNAcentral's name for it is "bacterial SSU rRNA". It matches the Rfam family "Bacterial small subunit ribosomal RNA". Lineage: Bacteria; Bacillati; Bacillota; Bacilli; Lactobacillales; Lactobacillaceae. The record is from RNAcentral.
GACGAACGCUGGCGGCGUGCCUAAUACAUGCAAGUCGAACGAACUCUGGUAUUGAUUGGUGCUUGCAUCAUGAUUUACAUUUGAGUGAGUGGCGAACUGGUGAGUAACACGUGGGAAACCUGCCCAGAAGCGGGGGAUAACACCUGGAAACAGAUGCUAAUACCGCAUAACAACUUGGACCGCAUGGUCCGAGNUUGAAAGAUGGCUUCGGCUAUCACUUUUGGAUGGUCCCGCGGCGUAUUAGCUAGAUGGUGGGGUAACGGCUCACCAUGGCAAUGAUACGUAGCCGACCUGAGAGGGUAAUCGGCCACAUUGGGACUGAGACACGGCCCAAACUCCUACGGGAGGCAGCAGUAGGGAAUCUUCCACAAUGGACGAAAGUCUGAUGGAGCAACGCCGCGUGAGUGAAGAAGGGUUUCGGCUCGUAAAACUCUGUUGUUAAAGAAGAACAUAUCUGAGAGUAACUGUUCAGGUAUUGACGGUAUUUAACCAGAAAGCCACGGCUAACUACGUGCCAGCAGCCGCGGUAAUACGUAGGUGGCAAGCGUUGUCCGGAUUUAUUGGGCGUAAAGCGAGCGCAGGCGGUUUUUUAAGUCUGAUGUGAAAGCCUUCGGCUCAACCGAAGAAGUGCAUCGGAAACUGGGAAACUUGAGUGCAGAAGAGGACAGUGGAACUCCAUGUGUAGCGGUGAAAUGCGUAGAUAUAUGGAAGAACACCAGUGGCGAAGGCGGCUGUCUGGUCUGUAACUGACGCUGAGGCUCGAAAGUAUGGGUAGCAAACAGGAUUAGAUACCCUGGUAGUCCAUACCGUAAACGAUGAAUGCUAAGUGUUGGAGGGUUUCCGCCCUUCAGUGCUGCAGCUAACGCAUUAAGCAUUCCGCCUGGGGAGUACGGCCGCAAGGCUGAAACUCAAAGGAAUUGACGGGGGCCCGCACAAGCGGUGGAGCAUGUGGUUUAAUUCGAAGCUACGCGAAGAACCUUACCAGGUCUUGACAUACUAUGCAAAUCUAAGAGAUUAGACGUUCCCUUCGGGGACAUGGAUACAGGUGGUGCAUGGUUGUCGUCAGCUCGUGUCGUGAGAUGUUGGGUUAAGUCCCGCAACGAGCGCAACCCUUAUUAUCAGUUGCCAGCAUUAAGUUGGGCACUCUGGUGAGACUGCCGGUGACAAACCGGAGGAAGGUGGGGAUGACGUCAAAUCAUCAUGCCCCUUAUGACCUGGGCUACACACGUGCUACAAUGGAUGGUACAACGAGUUGCGAACUCGCGAGAGUAAGCUAAUCUCUUAAAGCCAUUCUCAGUUCGGAUUGUAGGCUGCAACUCGCCUACAUGAAGUCGGAAUCGCUAGUAAUCGCGGAUCAGCAUGCCGCGGUGAAUACGUUCCCGGGCCUUGUACACACCGCCCGUCACACCAUGAGAGUUUGUAACACCCAAAGUCGGUGGGGUAACCUUUUAGGAACCAGCCGCCUAAGGUGGGACAGANGAUUAGGGUGAAG